RNAcentral lists this ribosomal RNA (492 nucleotides) under uncultured bacterium. RNAcentral's name for it is "partial 16S ribosomal RNA". It matches the Rfam family "Bacterial small subunit ribosomal RNA", at positions 29 to 507 of the family's 1533-position model. The record is from RNAcentral.
AGUGAACGCUGGCGGUAGGCCUAACACAUGCAAGUCGAACGGCAGCACAGUAAGAGCUUGCUCUUACGGGUGGCGAGUGGCGGACGGGUGAGGAAUACAUCGGAAUCUACUUUUUCGUGGGGGAUAACGUAGGGAAACUUACGCUAAUACCGCAUACGACCUACGGGUGAAAGCAGGGGAUCUUCGGACCUUGCGCGACUGAAUGAGCCGAUGUCGGAUUAGCUAGUUGGCGGGGUAAAGGCCCACCAAGGCGACGAUCCGUAGCUGGUCUGAGAGGAUGAUCAGCCACACUGGAACUGAGACACGGUCCAGACUCCUACGGGAGGCAGCAGUGGGGAAUAUUGGACAAUGGGCGCAAGCCUGAUCCAGCAAUACCGCGUGAGUGAAGAAGGCCUUCGGGUUGUAAAGCCCUUUUGUUGGGAAAGAAAAGCAGCAGGUUAAUACCCCGCUGUUCUGACGGUACCCAAAGAAUAAGCACCGGCUAACUUCGUG